This 253-nucleotide ribosomal RNA is filed under the name uncultured bacterium. RNAcentral's name for it is "partial 16S ribosomal RNA". It matches the Rfam family "Bacterial small subunit ribosomal RNA", at positions 524 to 776 of the family's 1533-position model. The record is from RNAcentral.
UACGGAGGGUGCAAGCGUUAUCCGGAUUCACUGGGUUUAAAGGGUGUGUAGGCGGGUCUGUAAGUCAGUGGUGAAAUCUCGAGGCUCAACCUCGAAACUGCCAAUGAUACUAUAGGUCUUGAAUACCGCUGAGGUGGGCGGAAUAUGUCAUGUAGCGGUGAAAUGCAUAGAUAUGACAUAGAACACCAAUUGCGAAGGCAGCUCACUAAACGGUCAUUGACGCUGAGGCACGAAAGCGUGGGGAUCAAACAGG